This 459-nucleotide ribosomal RNA is filed under the name uncultured bacterium. RNAcentral's name for it is "partial 16S ribosomal RNA". It matches the Rfam family "Bacterial small subunit ribosomal RNA", at positions 338 to 795 of the family's 1533-position model. The record is from RNAcentral.
CCUACGGGAGGCAGCAGUGAGGAAUAUUGGUCAAUGGGCGGAAGCCUGAACCAGCCAAGUAGCGUGCGGGAUGAAGGCCCUACGGGUCGUAAACCGCUUUUGCACGGGGAUAACACCCUCCACUUGUGGAGGUCUGCAGGUACCGUGCGAAUAAGGGCCGGCUAAUUCCGUGCCAGCAGCCGCGGUAAUACGGAAGGCCCGAGCGUUAUCCGGAUUCAUUGGGCGUAAGGGGAACGUAGGCGGGCGUUCAAGUCAGCUGUAAAAGCGCGCGGCUCAACCGCGCCCCGCAGUUGAAACUGGACGCCUUGAGUGCACAACAGGCAGGCGGAAUUCGUGGUGUAGCGGUGAAAUGCAUAGAUAUCACGAGGAACCCCGAUUGCGAAGGCAGCCUGCCGGGGUGCGACUGACGCUGAGGCUCGAAGGUGCGGGUAUCAAACAGGAUUAGAUACCCGAGUAGUC